UCAACAUCUGCUUUGAGACUUUGUGGAUGUGUUAUCAAGUGGAAGCCCAGUGUAGCAAACUUUCCGGCUGUGGUAACUAGUGACAACCCAACACAGUCGGGAAAUGUGAGACUGUGGAUGCCGAUAACAGUUAUGGACAAGAUUGAAGAUAACUCAAUUCCAUUUUUAGCAACAAUGUCUUCAGAACAGGAUUCCAGUUUUGAUGAACCGCAGACCGUCCAGGGGCACAAGCAGGGCUGCAGAAAGAAUUGGACAGGAAGACCUUGAAAGGCCUGCCCGACUGCAAGAAGACAGGCUGGCUGAGAUGUUUAGUAAAUAUCUUUCGCCUGUGGUACUGCUUUCAGUCAUUUCAUGUAGCUUUUCCCCCCUUAUCAUUACAGGCUAAAUUGCAAGAGCUGUCCGUUUGAAGAAAGGGUAGAGGUGCUGGAGUUGGCUGCUUCCCGUUUACCUGGACUGAUUUUUGACAUCAUGGAGUACUGGAGAGCUAUCCCAGGGUCUCCGGACAACCUUGCUGGUGCACCUGCAUGAAUUGCAGGGAGACUCCUACACCUCAUAACACACAACUGCUGCCAUUUCACCACUGCAAUAUUCCAUUUAUUUAGCUCAUAUCAGUUCAGUGCUUUAUCAGAAUGUUUCCUUUACACUGUGCUUUUCUUAUUUUGAGGAAGGUUACAGAGACAACUUGUAUAUCUCCCUAAUGAAACUGUUUGACCUGA
Long non-coding RNA from Salmo salar (Atlantic salmon), 716 nucleotides. RefSeq lists it as uncharacterized. Lineage: Eukaryota; Metazoa; Chordata; Actinopteri; Salmoniformes; Salmonidae. The record is from RefSeq and is a predicted model, not a curated record.